Long non-coding RNA from Carassius carassius (crucian carp), 613 nucleotides. RefSeq lists it as uncharacterized. The transcript is spliced from 3 exons. The record is from RefSeq and is a predicted model, not a curated record. NCBI's taxonomy places the organism in Eukaryota, Metazoa, Chordata, Actinopteri, Cypriniformes, Cyprinidae.
GGGUGAGCUGGACCGCAGACAGAAGGCAAAAGGGCCAACAAGUGCUAAGCAUCUCUCGGGGAACUCCUUCAAGACUGUUGGAAGACCAUUUCAGAUUUGAGGGAAAGAUUAAAAACAAGGAGGUCUGGGAACGACUGAAGAAGACAGCAGUGAGGGAAGGAAGUAAUCACCAGAAUGUAAGUUCUUUGAGAAUGUUGCAGGCCCAGGAUGAAGAAGAGGAGGAAGAACACAUUUAACAAUUUUCUCAUAAACUUGCCAUGUGUUAUAAUAAAAACAAUGACUACAGUAAUAUGCUAAAUGUUAUUAAAAGAUUCCAGUUUGCAAGAAAUCUGAGUGUCUGACUCUACACUAGAGGAACUCUUUUCUGAAGAACAUCAGGUGCUGAGAAGAAGCCUUGUUAUACAUCAAAACACUGCAUCAAGCCUCCUGUCCUUCCAUCAGAAGAGCCUGUCUUCUGCUGCUGGUGUAAGAAACACACUCUUCCUCUUCUCUGUCGGCUGUCCAGCACCUAACUCUGCCUCCUCAGCACUGUCUGAAAGAGUCUUCUCCACAGUCAGUAAUCAGAGAUCACAGAUUCUUCUGAGAAAGUCAAUACGCUCAUUUUCUUAAAAAC